UGCAAGGUGCUGCAUGGUUGUCGUCAGCUCGUGCCGUGAGGUGUCGGGUUAAGUCCCAUAACGAGCGCAACCCUUAUCGUUAGUUGCCAUCUGGUAAUGCAGGGACUCUAGCGAAACUGCCACGUAAGGUGAGAGGAAGUGGGGAUGACGUCAAAUCAGCACGGCCCUUAUGUCCAGGGCUACACACGUGUUACAAUGGUCGGUACAGAGGGCAGCUACCUGGUGACAGGAUGCUAAUCUCGAAAACCGGUCUCAGUUCGGAUCGAAGUCUGCAACUCGACUUCGUGAAGCUGGAUUCGCUAGUAAUCGCGGAUCAGCAUGCCGCGGUGAAUACGUUCCCGGGCCUU
This 347-nucleotide ribosomal RNA is filed under the name uncultured Sphingobacteriales bacterium. RNAcentral's name for it is "bacterial SSU rRNA". It matches the Rfam family "Bacterial small subunit ribosomal RNA", at positions 1032 to 1382 of the family's 1533-position model. Lineage: Bacteria; Pseudomonadati; Bacteroidota; Sphingobacteriia; Sphingobacteriales. The record is from RNAcentral.